This 1315-nucleotide ribosomal RNA is filed under the name unidentified marine bacterioplankton. Its description in RNAcentral is "bacterial SSU rRNA". It matches the Rfam family "Bacterial small subunit ribosomal RNA", at positions 9 to 1371 of the family's 1533-position model. The record is from RNAcentral.
GAGUUUGAUCAUGGCUCAGAACGUACGCUGGCGGCACGCCUAACACAUGCAAGUCGAACGAAGUAGCAAUACUUAGUGGCAGACGGGUGAGUAACAUGUAGGUAUCUGCCCUUUGGCCUGGAAUAACAUGAGGAAACUUAUGCUAAUACCGGAUAAGUCUUUACGGAGAAAGCUUUAUGCACCAUUGGAUGAGCCUGCACUUGAUUAGUUUGUUGGUAGGGUAAUGGCCUACCAAGACUGUGAUCAAUAGCUGAUUUGAGAGGAUGAUCAGCCACAUUGGGACUGAGACACGGCCCAAACUCCUACGGGAGGCAGCAGUGGGGAAUCUUGCACAAUGGAGGAAACUCUGAUGCAGCGAUGCCGCGUGAGUGAAGAAGGCCUUUGGGCUGUAAAGCUCUUUCGUCGGGGAAGAAAAUGACUGUACCCGAAUAAGAAGGUCCGGCUAACUUCGUGCCAGCAGCCGCGGUAAUACGAGGGGACCUAGCGUAGUUCGGAAUUACUGGGCUUAAAGAGUUCGUAGGUGGUUGAAAAAGUUGGUGGUGAAAUCCCAGAGCUUAACUCUGGAACUGCCAUCAAAACUUUUCAGCUAGAGUAUGAUAGAGGAAAGCAGAAUUUCUAGUGUAGAGGUGAAAUUCGUAGAUAUUAGAAAGAAUACCAAUUGCGAAGGCAGCUUUCUGGAUCAUUACUGACACUGAGGAACGAAAGCAUGGGUAGCGAAGAGGAUUGGAUACCCUCGUAGUCCAUGCCGUAAACGAUGUGUGUUAGACGUUGGAAAUUUAUUUUCAGUGUCGCAGCGAAAGCGAUAAACACACCGCCUGUGGAGUACGACCGCAAGGUUAAAACUCAAAUGAAUUGACGGGGACCCGCACAAGUAGUGGAGCAUGUGGUUUAAUUCGAAGAUACGCGCAGAACCUUACCAGCACUUGACAUGUUCGUCGCGACUUUAAGAGAUUAAAGUUUUCGGUUCGGCCGGACGAAACACAGGUGCUGCAUGGCUGUCGUCAGCUCGUGUCGUGAGAUGUUGGGUUAAGUCCCGCAACGAGCGCAACCCUCACUUUUAGUUGCCAUCAUUAAGUUGGGCACUCUGAAAGAACUGCCAGUGAUAAGCUGGAGGAAGGUGGGGAUGACGUCAAGUCCUCAUGGCCCUUACGUGUUGGGCUACACACGUGCUACAAUGGUAUCUACAACAGGAAGCAAAACGGCGACGUUUAGCAAAUCCUUAAAAGAUACCUCAGUUCGGAUUGCACUCGGCAACUCGAGUGCAUGAAGCUGGAAUUACUAGUAAUCGUGGAUCAGCGUGCCACGGUGAAUGCGU